UGGGGAAUAUUGGACAAUGGAGGAAACUCUGAUCCAGCGAUGCCGCGUGAGUGAAGAAAGCCUUCGGGUCGUAAAGCUCUUUUACUUGGGAAGAAAAGUCUGUGUUAAUAGCACCGGACGCUGACGGUACCAAGAGAAUAAGGAUCGGCUAACUACGUGCCAGCAGCCGCGGUAAUACGUAGGAUCCAAGCGUUAAUCGGAAUUAUUGGGCGUAAAGAAUUUGUAGGCUGUCGUGUAAGUUGAAUGUGAAAUCCCUGGGCUUAACCUAGGAACUGCGUUCAAGACUACACGACUAGAGUAUGUAAGAGGAGUGUGGAAUUCCUAGUGUAGCAGUGAAAUGCAUAGAUAUUAGGAGGAACACCAGUGGCGAAGGCGGCACUCUGGGACAAUACUGACGCUGAGAAAUGAAAGCGUGGGGAGCAAACGGG
This 428-nucleotide ribosomal RNA is filed under the name uncultured bacterium. Its description in RNAcentral is "bacterial SSU rRNA". It matches the Rfam family "Bacterial small subunit ribosomal RNA", at positions 355 to 776 of the family's 1533-position model. The record is from RNAcentral.